RNAcentral lists this transfer RNA (73 nucleotides) under Erythrogenys gravivox (Black-streaked Scimitar-babbler). RNAcentral's name for it is "tRNA-Glu". Lineage: Eukaryota; Metazoa; Chordata; Aves; Passeriformes; Timaliidae. The record is from RNAcentral.
GUUCCUGUAGUUAAAUACUUGUUAACGACAGUUUUUCAGGCUGUAGUUCUCGGAUAAAGGCCGGGCAGGAAUU